AUAAUGGGUCAGCGACUUAUAUUCUGUAGCAAGGUUAACCGAAUAGGGGAGCCGAAGGGAAACCGAGUCUUAACUGGGCGUUAAGUUGCAGGGUAUAGACCCGAAACCCGGUGAUCUAGCCAUGGGCAGGUUGAAGGUUGGGUAACACUAACUGGAGGACCGAACCGACUAAUGUUGAAAAAUUAGCGGAUGACUUGUGGCUGGGGGUGAAAGGCCAAUCAAACCGGGAGAUAGCUGGUUCUCCCCGAAAGCUAUUUAGGUAGCGCCUCGUGAAUUCAUCUCCGGGGGUAGAGCACUGUUUCGGCAAGGGGGUCAUCCCGACUUACCAACCCGAUGCAAACUGCGAAUACCGGAGAAUGUUAUCACGGGAGACACACGGCGGGUGCUAACGUCCGUCGUGAAGAGGGAAACAACCCAGACCGCCAGCUAAGGUCCCAAAGUCAUGGUUAAGUGGGAAACGAUGUGGGAAGGCCCAGACAGCCAGGAUGUUGGCUUAGAAGCAGCCAUCAUUUAAAGAAAGCGUAAUAGCUCACUGGUCGAGUCGGCCUGCGCGGAAGAUGUAACGGGGCUAAACCAUGCACCGAAGCUGCGGCAGCGACGCUUAUGCGUUGUUGGGUAGGGGAGCGUUCUGU
This 632-nucleotide ribosomal RNA is filed under the name Escherichia coli. RNAcentral describes it as "partial 23S ribosomal RNA". It matches the Rfam family "Bacterial large subunit ribosomal RNA", at positions 612 to 1244 of the family's 2925-position model. Lineage: Bacteria; Pseudomonadati; Pseudomonadota; Gammaproteobacteria; Enterobacterales; Enterobacteriaceae. The record is from RNAcentral.